GAUCUCUUCUGUGACAAUAGUAAAUUGAAUCAGAUCUGUUCAUAAAAUAUCCGGAUUUAAAUUACAAUUGUAAUUUCGCUAAAUAGCCUGGGUUGGAUAAGUAUGUGUGUGUGUGUGAAGCGAAGCAACAACACAUCUACAAAAUCUACAGAUCAACUCAUCUUUGCCGGACGUGUAUAAAUGAGAGUUCUUCAUUUUAUUCUGAACUAUUGAACAUGGAAAAGAGAAUUAAACCGUCAACAUCGAUCGUUCCGAAAAGCAAUCAAACGAUCCGGAAUGAUGCGAUGCACGAUAGAUUUCACUCUGUCGUGCUUGAGAAGCUCGCUGACAUAAAAUUUAUGUUUAAUUUUGAAAAUGGCGUUGUUCCAGUGGCGGCAAAUAAAGCGGUCUUAUCAGCAUCGAGCCCGGUAUUUAACAAAAUGUUUAGCGAAAGACACGAAGCAAAGAUACAAAUGGAAGAAAAAUCUCCGGCAGCAUUUCAAGAAUUCCUCCAAUUCUUUUAUAAAGAUCGUGUUAUGCUAACGAUGAAAAACAUUGGUGACGUUUUGUUGCUGGUUCAUAAGUACGAAGUAGCCGAUUGCAUACCUGUUUGCACAAAAUUCUUAAAAAAACAUCUAACAAUCGAGGACAGUCUAUGGGCGUUGUUCUUCGCAAUAAAAUUCAAAGACGAUGAUUUGAAAAAAAAUUGCGAAAAAAAAUACAAGAAAAUGUAACAAAAGCGAUUGAUAUGUUCAACAUUAGUGAUUUUGAUCACGUCCGCUUGUCACCGCAUCCAAAUAAUAAUCGAUUCAUUCCGGACAACAUCGUGUCAAAUUUAUUUGUACGUGUUGUCGCUCUUCUGAAAAAUGUUAAGAUACCGCAAUUGAGUGGUCAAAACAAACCUUAAAUUACUUGAAUUUACAUCAAUAAAAAUUAUUGUAUCAAAAGUCA
Contarinia nasturtii (swede midge) is the source of this 930-nucleotide long non-coding RNA. RefSeq lists it as uncharacterized. The transcript has 3 exons. Lineage: Eukaryota; Metazoa; Arthropoda; Insecta; Diptera; Cecidomyiidae. The record is from RefSeq and is a predicted model, not a curated record.